UGAGCAAUCUGCCCUUCUCUUUGGAAUAAGCGUUGGAAACGACGUCUAAUGCCGAAUACGACCUCCUUUCGCAUGAUCGGAGGUGGAAAGCUCCGGCGGAGAAGGAUGAGCUCGCGGCCUAUCAGCUAGUUGGUGUGGGUAAUGGCCCACAAGGCGACGACGGGUAGCCGGCCUGGAGGAGGGUGACCCGGCCACACGUGGGACUGAGACACGGCCCAGACCUCCGUAGGGGAGNAGCG
This 239-nucleotide ribosomal RNA is filed under the name uncultured bacterium. RNAcentral's name for it is "partial 16S ribosomal RNA". It matches the Rfam family "Bacterial small subunit ribosomal RNA", at positions 118 to 347 of the family's 1533-position model. The record is from RNAcentral.